This 253-nucleotide ribosomal RNA is filed under the name uncultured bacterium. Its description in RNAcentral is "partial 16S ribosomal RNA". It matches the Rfam family "Bacterial small subunit ribosomal RNA", at positions 524 to 776 of the family's 1533-position model. The record is from RNAcentral.
GACAGAGGGGGCAAACGUUGUUCGGAAUUACUGGGCGUAAAGCGCGUGUAGGCGGCCCUGCAAGUCGGAUGUGAAAUCCCACGGCUCAACCGUGGAAGUGCAUUCGAAACUGCAGGGCUAGAGUCCUGGAGAGGAAGGUGGAAUGCUUGGUGUAGAGGUGAAAUUCGUAGAUAUCAAGCGGAACACCGGUGGCGAAGGCGGCCUUCUGGACAGUGACUGACGCUGAGACGCGAAAGCGUGGGGAGCAAACAGG